GACGAACGCUGGCGGCGCGCUUAACACAUGCAAGUCGAACGGAAAGGCCUGCUUUCCCUUGUGGAUUGCGGGUACUCGAGUGGCGAACGGGUGAGUAACACGUGAGUGAUCUGCCCCCAACUUGGGUAUAAGCCUGGGAAACUGGGUCUAAUUCCCGAUAGGACUGCAGGGUGGUGCCUGUGGUGGAAAACGAUUUUCUAGUGGUUGGGGAUGAGCUCGCGGCCUAUCAGCUUGUUGGUGGGGUAAUGGCCUACCAAGGCGGCGACGGGUAGCCGGCCUGGGAGGGUGGACGGCCACAUUGGGACUGAGAUACGGCCCAGACUCCUACGGGAGGCAGCAGUGGGGAAUAUUGCACAAUGGGCGGAAGCCUGAUGCAGCGACGCCGCGUGGGGGAUGACGGCCUUCGGGUUGUAAACUCCUUCCGACCGCGAGGAAGCCACCUGGUUGGAAGGGUGGUGACGGUAGUGGUAGAAGAAGCACCGGCUAACUACGUG
RNAcentral lists this ribosomal RNA (494 nucleotides) under uncultured bacterium. Its description in RNAcentral is "partial 16S ribosomal RNA". It matches the Rfam family "Bacterial small subunit ribosomal RNA", at positions 28 to 507 of the family's 1533-position model. The record is from RNAcentral.